This 505-nucleotide ribosomal RNA is filed under the name uncultured bacterium. RNAcentral's name for it is "partial 16S ribosomal RNA". It matches the Rfam family "Bacterial small subunit ribosomal RNA", at positions 28 to 507 of the family's 1533-position model. The record is from RNAcentral.
GACGAACGCUGGCGGCGUGCCUAAUACAUGCAAGUAGAACGCACAGUUUAUACCGUAGCUUGCUACACCAUAGACUGUGAGUUGCGAACGGGUGAGUAACGCGUAGGUAACCUGCCUGGUAGCGGGGGAUAACUAUUGGAAACGAUAGCUAAUACCGCAUAAUAUUAAUUAUUGCAUGAUAAUUAAUUGAAAGGUGCAAUUGCACCACUACCAGAUGGACCUGCGUUGUAUUAGCUAGUAGGUGAGGUAACGGCUCACCUAGGCGACGAUACAUAGCCGACCUGAGAGGGUGAUCGGCCACACUGGGACUGAGACACGGCCCAGACUCCUACGGGAGGCAGCAGUAGGGAAUCUUCGGCAAUGGACGAAAGUCUGACCGAGCAACGCCGCGUGAGUGAAGAAGGUUUUCGGAUCGUAAAGCUCUGUUGUAAGAGAAGAACGGGUGUGAGAGUGGAAAGUUCACACUGUGACGGUAUCUUACCAGAAAGGGACAGCUAACUACGUG